RNAcentral lists this long non-coding RNA (537 nucleotides) under Homo sapiens (human). Its description in RNAcentral is "HSALNT0043134". The record is from RNAcentral. Lineage: Eukaryota; Metazoa; Chordata; Mammalia; Primates; Hominidae.
CUGGGGCCCACCCUGCCCCAGAAUGACCUCAUCUUAACUAACUACAUCUUCAACGACCCUGUUUCCAUAUAAGAUCACAUUCUGAGGCACCAAACCCAAUCAGGACAGAGGACAAGGGAACCAGCUGAUACCAUUUGGGGAAGUCACAGAGAAGGGAGGAGAAUGGAUACGAUGCAGAAACCAAGCUUCGAGAAAGUGGAGUGACUUGCCCAAAGUCACACAGCUUUGGGAGGAUCUGAACCCAGUUGGUGUGUCUCCAGACCGAACUAUCUUAACUGCAAUAUUAUACUGUUUGUUAAUUCAGCAAAUCCAUGGCCCUCAGCCCUCUUUAAGUGAUACCUAAACAGACAACUAAGGGUAAACUUUUGGGUUGUGUUUUUCAUCGAAGGAUAACAUAUCUUACCAGGCUGGGACAAUAAAGAGCAAAUGAUUGUUAAUAUCAUAAUUUCUGUCUCCCCAGAAAUUAGCCAGUAUGUAUCAACCAAACAGAAUUGGCUAGCCAAACAAUUUCCUCAUUAUUACCAUACAAUGCAGCUU